GGGAAACCCUUCUCCUUCAACUACAAUCAAGAACUCAAGAAUUGAACCUGAAUUUGGGGAGAAAUCGGAUGCAUGAGCUUAUAAUCUUAAUCAUCUAGACAAGAUGAACAUGUGGAAUCACGUCGUGACGGACUCAAGCAUGAAAGGAUAACGGGUCAAGAAGAGGAGAGGAAUCGGAUACGAGCACGGACGCAUAAGGUUGUGCGGGUCACGGAGGAUCAUCAAGGAAUAAAGAUCGAAG
Molecule: long non-coding RNA, 241 nt
Organism: Helianthus annuus (common sunflower)
Lineage: Eukaryota; Viridiplantae; Streptophyta; Magnoliopsida; Asterales; Asteraceae
Exons: 3
Source: RefSeq, a predicted model, not a curated record